UGCUCAAAUAAGCAGGUGCAUGUAAGCGCA
Molecule: non-coding RNA, 30 nt
Filed under: Rattus norvegicus (Norway rat)
Lineage: Eukaryota; Metazoa; Chordata; Mammalia; Rodentia; Muridae
Source: RNAcentral